Small nuclear RNA from Cynocephalus volans (Philippine flying lemur), 104 nucleotides. NCBI's taxonomy places the organism in Eukaryota, Metazoa, Chordata, Mammalia, Dermoptera, Cynocephalidae. The record is from RefSeq and is a predicted model, not a curated record.
GCUUGUUUCAGCUGACAUAUACUAAAAUUGUAACAAUAUGGAGAAGAUUUGUAUGGCUCCUGCACAAGGCUAACAUGCAAAUUUGUGAAGUGCUCCAUAUUUUC